RNAcentral lists this ribosomal RNA (2916 nucleotides) under Vibrio parahaemolyticus. RNAcentral's name for it is "bacterial LSU rRNA". It matches the Rfam family "Bacterial large subunit ribosomal RNA". The record is from RNAcentral. Lineage: Bacteria; Pseudomonadati; Pseudomonadota; Gammaproteobacteria; Vibrionales; Vibrionaceae.
GUUGUAUGGUUAAGUGACUAAGCGUACACGGUGGAUGCCUUGGCAGUCAGAGGCGAUGAAAGACGUAGUAACUUGCGAUAAGCCCAGAUUAGGUAGUAACAACCAUUUGAGUCUGGGAUUUCUGAAUGGGGAAACCCACGUGCAUAAGCACGUAUCCUUACCUGAAUACAUAGGGUAAGGAGGCGAACCGGGGGAACUGAAACAUCUAAGUACCCCGAGGAAAAGAAAUCAACCGAGAUUCCGAAAGUAGCGGCGAGCGAAAUUGGACUAGCCCUUAAGCUUUACACGCGUUAGACGAACGGUCUGGAAAGUCCGACGAUACAGGGUGAUAGUCCCGUAGUUGACGACGUGUGUUCAGUGAAAUCGAGUAGGGCGGGACACGUGAUAUCCUGUCUGAAUAUGGGGGGACCAUCCUCCAAGGCUAAAUACUACUGACUGACCGAUAGUGAACCAGUACCGUGAGGGAAAGGCGAAAAGAACCCCUGUGAGGGGAGUGAAAUAGAACCUGAAACCGUGUACGUACAAGCAGUAGGAGCAGGCUUUGUCCUGUGACUGCGUACCUUUUGUAUAAUGGGUCAGCGACUUAUAUUCAGUGGCAAGGUUAACCAUCUAGGGGAGCCGUAGGGAAACCGAGUCUUAACUGGGCGUUCAGUCUCUGGAUAUAGACCCGAAACCAGGUGAUCUAGCCAUGGGCAGGUUGAAGGUUGAGUAACAUCAACUGGAGGACCGAACCGACUAAUGUUGAAAAAUUAGCGGAUGACUUGUGGCUAGGGGUGAAAGGCCAAUCAAACCUGGAGAUAGCUGGUUCUCCCCGAAAGCUAUUUAGGUAGCGCCUCGGACGAAUACUACUGGGGGUAGAGCACUGUUAAGGCUAGGGGGUCAUCCCGACUUACCAACCCUUUGCAAACUCCGAAUACCAGUAAGUACUAUCCGGGAGACACACGGCGGGUGCUAACGUCCGUCGUGGAGAGGGAAACAACCCAGACCGCCAGCUAAGGUCCCAAAUUACUACUAAGUGGGAAACGAUGUGGGAAGGCUCAGACAGCCAGGAUGUUGGCUUAGAAGCAGCCAUCAUUUAAAGAAAGCGUAAUAGCUCACUGGUCGAGUCGGCCUGCGCGGAAGAUGUAACGGGGCUAAGUAGUAAACCGAAGCUGCGGCAAUGUGCUUUUGCACAUUGGGUAGGGGAGCGUUCUGUAAGCGGUUGAAGGUGUGUGGUAACGCAUGCUGGACGUAUCAGAAGUGCGAAUGCUGACAUGAGUAACGAUAAAGGGGGUGAAAAACCUCCUCGCCGGAAGACCAAGGGUUCCUGUCCAACGUUAAUCGGGGCAGGGUAAGUCGACCCCUAAGGCGAGGCCGAAAGGCGUAGUCGAUGGGAAACGGGUUAAUAUUCCCGUACUUCUUACAAUUGCGAUGGGGGGACGGAGAAGGCUAGGUGGGCCUGGCGACGGUUGUCCAGGUUCAAGUGCGUAGGCUUAAGAGUUAGGUAAAUCCGGCUCUUUUUAAGGCUGAGACACGACGUCGAGCACCUACGGGUGUGAAGUCAUUGAUGCCAUGCUUCCAGGAAAAGCCUCUAAGCUUCAGAUUGUAAGGAAUCGUACCCCAAACCGACACAGGUGGUCGGGUAGAGAAUACCAAGGCGCUUGAGAGAACUCGGGUGAAGGAACUAGGCAAAAUGGUACCGUAACUUCGGGAGAAGGUACGCUCUCGACGGUGAAGUCCCUCGCGGAUGGAGCUAUUGAGAGUCGCAGAUACCAGGUGGCUGCAACUGUUUAUUAAAAACACAGCACUGUGCAAAAUCGUAAGAUGACGUAUACGGUGUGACGCCUGCCCGGUGCCGGAAGGUUAAUUGAUGGGGUUAGACUUCGGUCGAAGCUCUUGAUCGAAGCCCCGGUAAACGGCGGCCGUAACUAUAACGGUCCUAAGGUAGCGAAAUUCCUUGUCGGGUAAGUUCCGACCUGCACGAAUGGCGUAAUGAUGGCCACGCUGUCUCCACCCGAGACUCAGUGAAAUUGAAAUCGCUGUGAAGAUGCAGUGUACCCGCGGCUAGACGGAAAGACCCCGUGAACCUUUACUACAGCUUGGCACUGAACAUUGACCCUACAUGUGUAGGAUAGGUGGGAGGCUUUGAAGCACGUACGCCAGUAUGUGUGGAGCCGUCCUUGAAAUACCACCCUUGUAGUGUUGAUGUUCUAACGUCGACCCCUUAUCGGGGUUGCGGACAGUGCCUGGUGGGUAGUUUGACUGGGGCGGUCUCCUCCCAAAGAGUAACGGAGGAGCACGAAGGUGGGCUAAUCACGGUUGGACAUCGUGAGGUUAGUGCAAUGGCAUAAGCCCGCUUGACUGCGAGAAUGACAAUUCGAGCAGGUGCGAAAGCAGGUCAUAGUGAUCCGGUGGUUCUGAAUGGAAGGGCCAUCGCUCAACGGAUAAAAGGUACUCCGGGGAUAACAGGCUGAUACCGCCCAAGAGUUCAUAUCGACGGCGGUGUUUGGCACCUCGAUGUCGGCUCAUCACAUCCUGGGGCUGAAGUCGGUCCCAAGGGUAUGGCUGUUCGCCAUUUAAAGUGGUACGCGAGCUGGGUUUAGAACGUCGUGAGACAGUUCGGUCCCUAUCUGCCGUGGGCGUUGGAAGAUUGAAGGGGGCUGCUCCUAGUACGAGAGGACCGGAGUGGACGAACCUCUGGUGUUCGGGUUGUGUCGCCAGACGCAUUGCCCGGUAGCUAAGUUCGGAAUCGAUAACCGCUGAAAGCAUCUAAGCGGGAAGCGAGCCCUGAGAUGAGUCUUCCCUGAUACUUUAAGUAUCCUAAAGGGUUGUCGGAGACUACGACGUUGAUAGGUCAGGUGUGUAAGUGCUGUGAGGCAUUGAGCUAACUGAUACUAAUUGCCCGUGAGGCUUAACCAUACAACACCCAAGGGGUUU